UACGGAGGGUGCAAGCGUUAUCCGGAUUUAUUGGGUUUAAAGGGUGCGUAGGCGGACUGAUAAGUCAGUGGUGAAAUCCCAUAGCUCAACUAUGGAACUGCCAUUGAUACUGGCAAACUUGAGUUAUUGUGAAGUAGUUAGAAUGUGUAGUGUAGCGGUGAAAUGCAUAGAUAUUACACAGAAUACCGAUUGCGAAAGCAGAUUACUAAUAAUCAACUGACACUGAUGGACGAAAGCGUGGGUAGCGAACAGG
This 253-nucleotide ribosomal RNA is filed under the name uncultured bacterium. RNAcentral's name for it is "partial 16S ribosomal RNA". It matches the Rfam family "Bacterial small subunit ribosomal RNA", at positions 524 to 776 of the family's 1533-position model. The record is from RNAcentral.